UGUACAGCAGUUAGUAGGUGUCGAGUGUAUCUCGUCUUUGAGAAAGUAACUAUAAUGUAUGUGUUGAAUUUGAACUAAACGAUAAUCAAUGUAUACAAAAACGAUUCUGAGCGAAUGAUGGUCCAUCAACCUACACUCCAUUCUCGUUUAGAAACGACCAAGGCGACAAGUUUUUGUCGAUGGCUCGCAGGUCACACAUAUAACUGUUUUCUCUACUUAAUCAACCACCAGUAAUAUCAGAACGAUACCGCGUCCAUGUAGUGAAGUCGUCGACUGCCUGAGUCAUUUUUAAAUACAUUCAUGUGACAAAUCAACACUAUAAGGUAUUAUCAUACCUACUUCAAAUGUUUGGAAACAAACCGAGAAACUAAAUUAAUUUAAUGACGGGUUUUGACUUCAAGAGUUCUUAUAUAAUAUAUUUAUAUUAUGCGCAAUAUUAGUAAUAUACAUUUUCAUGAUUUUUUUUUGUUUGAAAAUUUUAAAAAGAAGUUGAAAAUGAUGAAAAUUUUAUAAUUUCUCAUAUUAAUUUCUUAUUAUAUAAAUCCUUUGAUAUUAUACAUUUAUAGUAUUUUCAACCUUCAUAAUUAUAUUUAAAACUAUGUACUUCUAUUAUACCAUUUACUCAUUUUAAUAUUAUUUUAUUGAACAUAAUAAUAUAUUAAUAUAUUAUAUAGCAAUUCCAAAAUACAAAUAACUAUAUAUUUAUAUAAAUCAGUACCUAUGUAAUAUUUAUCUCGACAAUAAAUGUGUAUAUUUAUCUAUUAUUAAAAA
Long non-coding RNA from Rhopalosiphum padi (bird cherry-oat aphid), 771 nucleotides. RefSeq lists it as uncharacterized. NCBI's taxonomy places the organism in Eukaryota, Metazoa, Arthropoda, Insecta, Hemiptera, Aphididae. The transcript is spliced from 2 exons. The record is from RefSeq and is a predicted model, not a curated record.